Molecule: long non-coding RNA, 927 nt
Filed under: Salmo salar (Atlantic salmon)
Lineage: Eukaryota; Metazoa; Chordata; Actinopteri; Salmoniformes; Salmonidae
Description: lncRNA (ENSSSAG00000093091.1)
Rfam family: UnaL2 LINE 3' element (bases 5-58)
Source: RNAcentral
GGUGAAUGCACCAAUUUGUAAGUCGCUGUGGAUAAGAGCGUCUGCUAAAUGACUUAAAUGUAAAAAAUGUAAAUGUAAUAUACACAUUAUGACAUAAUAAAGAGCUUAAUCUUUCACGAAAUAAAGACAUAGAAGCAUACCCAAUUAUACAGGUUCUACACAUUCCAUUUCUCCAUGGCAAUAGAAUGUAAACAUUCUAUUUUGCACCAAACAUCGCCUACAACUCAAUUCUAAGUGCAGCAUAUUGGACGACAACACAGUCAUUGAUCAUUUGCAACUUUAAGUCAUUCCUGUUAUCUCUAGAGCAUCCCGUAUAUCUAUAGCGCGGCAUUUCUUCCCCAUCUUUCCAUGGAUAGGGUUUGGUGCAUUCCGGAGUUCACUUAUGGUCCCACAAAGGAAUUCUGUAGAAGCAGCCUUUAUUUUCAGACUCUGCAGGCCUGCUGGGAGGAAACAUAUUACAAUAAACAGAAGAAGGUCAUGGUCCAUUAUCUGCUGCUCCAGAGUCAAGGCCAGGUCCCGCCCCAUGUCACCACGGAGCACAUGAGCAACUGGCUGGUGUCUCAGGGCAAAAAAUCCUUUAGGGAGAGGGUGUGGAAGGAAACCCUGGAGGAGGGAAACGACCUCGCUCGGCUGGCCUGGGAAGUAAACACUUGCCUAAAAAUGAUGGACAUAGAGCACGAGGCUUUCUGCAAGCUCCGCCGCUCCAUGCACUCCACCUCGCCAGCUGACAUCGAUCCUAAAGUCCACAGCAUCGUGGAGAGAGCUGUGAGGAGCAUUCUGGGCGUGCAGUCCAAUGAGCCCCGUAGCAACCUGCUCAGCCCAUCUCAGGUGGUCGUGGAGGUGGUGCCCAGGCUCCUCCUGGCCCUGUGGCUUCAGCCAGAGGAAGGCCAUUCAGAGCACCCAAUCCUAAUAAGCGGGAUGGCCGUG